Molecule: ribosomal RNA, 105 nt
Filed under: uncultured bacterium
Lineage: Bacteria
Description: partial 16S ribosomal RNA
Rfam family: Bacterial small subunit ribosomal RNA
Source: RNAcentral
CCUUGUACACACCGCCCGUCAAGUCAUGAAAGUCGGUAACACCCGAAGCCAGUGGCCCAACCGCAAGGAGGGAGCUGUCGAAGGUGGGAUCGGUGAUUAGGACGU